UCCUACGGGAGGCAGCAGUAGGGAAUUUUCGUCAAUGGGCGCAAGCCUGAACGAGCAAUGCCGCGUGAACGAGGAAGGUCUUCGGAUCGUAAAGUUCUGUUGAAGGGGAAAAAGAGCGGAGAGAGGAAAUGGUCUCCAAUUGAUAUUACCCUUCGAGGAAGUCACGGCUAACUACGUGCCAGCAGCCGCGGUAAUACGUAGGUGGCGAGCGUUAUCCGGAAUGAUUGGGCGUAAAGGGUGCGUAGGCGGCCUGCUAAGUCUGGAGUGAAAGGUACCGGCUCAACCGGUACAGGCUGUGGAAACUG
RNAcentral lists this ribosomal RNA (305 nucleotides) under uncultured bacterium. RNAcentral describes it as "bacterial SSU rRNA". It matches the Rfam family "Bacterial small subunit ribosomal RNA", at positions 337 to 635 of the family's 1533-position model. The record is from RNAcentral.